This 1879-nucleotide ribosomal RNA is filed under the name marine metagenome. RNAcentral describes it as "bacterial LSU rRNA". It matches the Rfam family "Bacterial large subunit ribosomal RNA", at positions 593 to 2459 of the family's 2925-position model. The record is from RNAcentral.
GUGACUGCGUACCUUUUGUAUAAUGGGUCAGCGACUUACUUCUCAGUAGCAAGGUUAACCAUUAGGGGAGCCGUAGGGAAACCGAGUCUUAAAUGGGCGUUUAGUUGCUGGGAGUAGACCCGAAACCGGGUGAUCUAUCCAUGGCCAGGGUGAAGGUUAGGUAACACUGACUGGAGGCCCGAACCCACUUAUGUUGAAAAAUGAGGGGAUGAGCUGUGGAUAGGGGUGAAAGGCCAAACAAACCCGGAGAUAGCUGGUUCUCUCCGAAAUCUAUUUAGGUAGAGCGUCAUGUAUUACUUCUGGGGGUAGAGCACUGUUAUGGCUAGCGGGUCGUCAAGACUUAGUAAACCAUUGCAAACUCCGAAUACCAGAAAGUAUGAGCAUGGCAGACACACUGCGGGUGCUAACGUCCGUAGUGGAAAGGGAAACAACCCAGACCGUCAGCUAAGGUCCCAAAAUUAUAGUUAAGUGGGAAACGAUGUGAAAAGGCAUAGACAGCCAGGAGGUUGGCUUAGAAGCAGCCAUUCCUUUAAAGAGUGCGUAAUAGCUCACUGGUCGAGUCGGUUUGCGCGGAAGAUUUAACGGGGCUAAACUAUAUACCGAAGCUGCGGAUCGCAAUUUAUUGCGAUGGUAGGAGAGCGUUCUGUAAGCCGUUGAAGGUGAACUGUGAGGUUUGCUGGAGGUAUCAGAAGUGCGAAUGCUGACAUGAGUAACGAUAAAGGGGGUGAAAAACCCCCUCGCCAGAAGUCCAAGGUUUCCUACGCAACGUUAAUCGGCGUAGGGUUAGUCGGCCCCUAAGGCGAGGCAGAAAUGCGUAGUCGAUGGGAAACGGGUUAAUAUUCCCGUACUUCAUAUAACUGCGAUGGGAAGACGGAGAAGGUUAGCUCAGCAAGGCGAUGGUUGUCCUUGUUCAAGCGUGUAGAAAUGGUUCUUAGGAAAAUCCGGGAACCUCUAUUUCAAGGCGUGAUAACGAUCCCUCUUUUGGGAGAAGUGAGUGAUACCAUGCUUCCAGGAAAAUCCUCUAAGCUUCAGGUUAUAUGAAACCGUACCCCAAACCGACACAGGUGGACGAGAUGAGAAUUCUAAGGCGCUUGAGAGAACUCGGGUGAAGGAACUAGGCAAAAUGACACCGUAACUUCGGGAGAAGGUGUACUCUUGUUAUGUGAAAUCACUCGCUGAUAGAGCAGAAAAGAGUUGAAAAUACUAGGUGGCUGCGACUGUUUAUUAAAAACACAGCACUCUGCAAACACGUAAGUGGACGUAUAGGGUGUGACUCCUGCCCGGUGCUUGAAGGUUAAUUGAUGAGGUUAGCGCUUGCGCGAAGCUUUUGAUCGAAGCCCAAGUAAACGGCGGCCGUAACUAUAACGGUCCUAAGGUAGCGAAAUUCCUUGUCGGGUAAGUUCCGACCUGCACGAAUGGAGUAACGACGGCCACACUGUCUCCACCCGAGACUCAGUGAAAUUGAAAUUGCUGUUAAGAUGCAGUAUACCCGCGGCCAGACGGAAAGACCCCGUGCACCUUUACUACAGCUUUGCAUUGAACUCUGAUCCUACUUGUGUAGGAUAGGUGGGAGGCUUUGAAGCUUUAACGCUAGUUAGAGUGGAGCCACCCUUGAAAUACCACCCUGGUAUGGUUGGGGUUCUAACCUAGGUCCGUAAUCCGGAUCGGGAACAAUGCAUGGUGGGUAGUUUGACUGGGGCGGUCUCCUCCCAAAGAGUAACGGAGGAGCGCAAAGGUAUCCUCAGCACGGUCGGACAUCGUGCAAUGAGCGCAAAGGUAAAAGGAUGCUUGACUGCGAGACUGACACGUCGAGCAGGUAGGAAACUAGGUCUUAGUGAUCCGGUGGUUCUGAGUGGAAGGACCAUCGCUCAACGGAUAA